This 66-nucleotide transfer RNA is filed under the name Gymnopis multiplicata. Its description in RNAcentral is "tRNA-Arg". The record is from RNAcentral. Lineage: Eukaryota; Metazoa; Chordata; Amphibia; Gymnophiona; Dermophiidae.
AAGAGGUUAGUCUAACAAAAGACCAUUGAUUUCGACUCAAUAAAUUGUGAUAAACACAACCCCUUU